This 1039-nucleotide ribosomal RNA is filed under the name uncultured bacterium. RNAcentral describes it as "bacterial SSU rRNA". It matches the Rfam family "Bacterial small subunit ribosomal RNA", at positions 156 to 1095 of the family's 1533-position model. The record is from RNAcentral.
AUGUGGGUGAAAAGGGGUGGGAACGGUAAAGGGUUCCCAUAACCCGGGCCUGGGGGAUGGGGCUCGCCGGGCCCCAUCAGGCUUAGUUGGUGGGGGUAAACGGGCCCUAACCCAAGGGCGACGACGGGGUAGCCCGGCCCUGAGAGGGGGUGACCGGGCCCACAGGUGGGGACUGAGACCACCGGCCCCACCACCUCCCUACGGGGAGGGCAAGCAAGCGGGGAAAUCUUGCGCGAAUGGGGCGAAAAGCUCUGACGCAAGCGACGCCGCGUGAGGGGUAAGGGAAGCCUCUUUCGGGGGGUGUUAAACUCUUCUUUGGACGGGGGAGAAAGUUAGGAAGAUUAGUUACCCCGUUUAAAAAAGCCCACGGGCUAACUUACGUGCCCAGCAGCCCGCGGUUAAUACCGUAGGGUGGCGGAGCGUUGUCCCGGAAUUACUGGGCGGUAAAGGGUUGCCGUAGGCGGCCCUGGUAAGGUUGAGCGUGAAAAUUUUUGGGCUCAACCCAAAAGGAGCGUUCAAGACUGCCAGGGCUUGAGUGCGCGGGAGAGGGACGGCGGAUUUCCCGGUGUGUAGCCGGUGAAAUGCGUAGAUAUAUCCGGGAGGAACACAGGUGGGCGAAAGCGGGCCGUCUGGGACCGUAACUGAACGCUGGAGGCACGAAAGCGGUGGGGGAGCAAACAGGAGUUUAGAUACCCUUGGUUAGUCCACGGCUGUAAACGAUGGAUAGGCUUAAGUGUGUGUGUGGGGGAGAAAAAAGAACUCUUCCCGUGACGUUAGUAACAACAAUAAGCAUCCUGACCUUGGGGAGUACGCCCGCAAAGGUUGAAACUAAAAGGAAUGGACGGGGGCCCGCCACAAGCGGUGGAAGCAUGUGGUUUAUUUGGAAGCAACGGGAAGACCCUUACCCAGGCCUUGACAUCCCGGGGACCUGCCGGAAAGGGUGGGGUGCCUAACGGUAAGGUUAGGAACCCCGGACACAGGUGGUGCAUGGUUGUCGUCAGCUCGUGUCGUGAGAUGUUGGGUUAAAGUCCCGCAACGA